This 453-nucleotide ribosomal RNA is filed under the name uncultured bacterium. Its description in RNAcentral is "bacterial SSU rRNA". It matches the Rfam family "Bacterial small subunit ribosomal RNA", at positions 29 to 524 of the family's 1533-position model. The record is from RNAcentral.
AACGAACGCUGGCGGCAGGCUUAACACAUGCAAGUCGAACGCGUGUAGCAAUACACGAGUGGCGCACGGGUGAGUAACGCGUGGAUAUCUGCCUUUUGGUUCGGAAUAACUCCGGGAAACUGGAGCUAAUACCGGAUGGUUCCUACGGGAUAAAGAUUUAUCGCCAAAAAGAUGAGUCCGCGUACGAUUAGCUAGUUGGUGAGGUAAUGGCUCACCAAGGCGACGAUCGUUAGCUGGUCUGAGAGGACGAUCAGCCACACUGGGACUGAGACACGGCCCAGACUCCUACGGGAGGCAGCAGUGGGGAAUAUUGGACAAUGGGGGCAACCCUGAUCCAGCCAUGCCGCGUGAGUGAUGAAGGCCUUCGGGUUGUAAAGCUCUUUUGGCGGGGACGAUGAUGACGGUACCCGCAGAAUAAGCCCCGGCUAACUUCGUGCCAGCAGCCGCGGUAAU